CUCCCCUAUCUUAAUCAGUGGCAAGCUCUGUUGAAUAGCCAUGCAUGUCUAAGUACAGACCUUCAAACGGUGAAACCGCGAAUGGCUCAUUAAAUCAGCUAUGGUUCCUUGGAUCGUACAUACUACAUGGAUAACUGUAGUAAUUCUAGAGCUAAUACAUGCCACUAUGCCCUGACCCGCAAGGGAACGGGUGGAUUUAUUAGAACAGAACCAACCGGCAGUGGCCUCGGUCACCGUCGUUGCAUUCUGUGAUGACUCUGGAUAACUUUACUGAUCGCAGUCGGCCCUGUGUCGGCGACGGAUCUUUCAAAUGUCUGCCCUAUCAAUUUUCGAUGGUAGGUGAACCUGAGAAGGAUCAA
Molecule: ribosomal RNA, 359 nt
Filed under: Opisthorchis pedicellata
Lineage: Eukaryota; Metazoa; Platyhelminthes; Trematoda; Opisthorchiida; Opisthorchiidae
Description: bacterial SSU rRNA
Rfam family: Eukaryotic small subunit ribosomal RNA (bases 37-359)
Source: RNAcentral